CUCUCACUCUCUCCGUUGUUUCGGCCGCACGUCUCUUCUCCACUUUCCCCUCCAUUUUACAUUUAUACCCCUCCGCGGUCUUCACCAAUUUUGUUCUCGGCCUCGAUUCCGACCCCUCUCCGUCCUCCCCAUGGCCAUGGGGCUCUCCACCGCCAAACCCUACCGCCGACGCCUCUUCCUCCUCCUACUCCGGUGCACGAGAACCGCCGAACCCUCGCCAAAAUGUCCCCAUCACCGCCCCUUGUCCUGUUCCUCCCCCGCCGCCGCUGCCGAACCCACCCACCUCCGCCGCAUAUUCCGCCCCGGCGAUCCCAACAGGUUCGCGCCCGGAAUUCUCGACGCUUUUUGGGGCGUGCGGCGGUUCUCCACCUCUGUCGAUCCGAUCUCUGGCGGCGAUAAGAACCUCGAGAGGAUUUUCAUCCAGAACAUGUCCGUGAAGCCCAUCGUGGUCGAUGGAGUUGAUGCCGUGCCGAUUGAGGAUGAGAGGAAAGAAGAGGUUGAUACGGUAGUGGCGGACGUGGAGGAGGGAAAAGAGGAGCUUUGCGGUGGUAAGGUUGAGGAUUUGGACCAAUUGGAGGGUGGCUUGGAAGUACGGCAGGAGAAAGAGCAGUCGGAGGUGGAGAAGGAGGCCUGGAGGCUUUUGGACAGGGCAGUCGUGAGCUAUUGCGGGAGACCAAUUGGCACCGUGGCUGCCAAUGAUGUGACGGCGGCGAACCAAGCUGUGAACUACGAUCAGGUGUUUAUCAGGGACUUCGUACCAUCUGCCCUAGCUUUCCUGCUUAAGGGGGAAAGCGAGAUCGUCCGCAAUUUCCUCCUCCAUACUUUGCAGCUUCAGAGCUGGGAGAAAACAGUUGACUGCUACAGCCCUGGACAAGGGCUGAUGCCGGCUAGCUUUAAAGUGAGAACUGUACCUUUGGAUGGAAGUAAUGAAGCAUUUGAAGAGGUUUUGGAUCCUGAUUUUGGAGAGUCAGCAAUUGGACGUGUAGCACCAGUUGAUUCUGGACUAUGGUGGAUUAUACUGCUAAGAGCAUAUGGAAAGAUAACUGGGGAUUAUGCAUUACAAGAGAGAGUGGAUGUACAAACAGGCAUCAGGUUGAUUUUAAAUUUAUGUUUGUCAGAUGGCUUUGACAUGUUCCCAUCUCUAUUGGUCACAGAUGGUUCAUGCAUGAUAGAUCGAAGGAUGGGUAUCCAUGGUCACCCUCUUGAGAUCCAAGCAUUGUUCUAUUCAGCUUUGCGGUGCUCUCGUGAAAUGAUCACUUUUAAUGAUGGAUCUAAAAAUCUGGUACGUGCUAUUAAUAACAGGCUCAGUGCUCUGUCUUUCCACAUUAGGGAGUAUUAUUGGGUUGAUAUGAAGAAGAUAAAUGAGAUUUAUCGCUACAAGACCGAAGAGUACUCCCAUGAUGCUAUUAACAAGUUCAAUAUUUAUCCUGAACAAAUUCCAUCUUGGCUAGUUGAAUGGAUGCCUGAUAAAGGUGGCUAUUUUAUUGGCAAUCUCCAGCCAGCUCACAUGGAUUUCAGGUUCUUCUCCCUUGGUAAUUUUUGGGCUAUUGUUUCUUCACUAGCCACACCAAGACAGGCAGAUGGCAUUCUCAAUUUAAUUGAAGAUAAAUGGGAUGAUAUUGUGGGACGUAUGCCACUCAAAAUAUGCUACCCUUCUUUAGAAUACGAGGAAUGGCGUAUAAUCACUGGCAGUGAUCCAAAGAACACGCCGUGGUCAUAUCACAAUGGUGGAUCUUGGCCUACACUUCUGUGGCAGUUCACAUUGGCUUGCAUUAAGAUGGGUAGGCCAGAGUUAGCACAAAGAGCUGUUGCAGUGGCUGAGAAGAGAUUGCCAAAUGACAAGUGGCCAGAAUAUUACGACACACGUAGUGGAAGAUUUAUUGGGAAGCAAUCACGGCUGUAUCAGACGUGGACCAUAGCUGGAUUCCUUACUGCCAAAAUGCUUCUGGAAAAUCCAGCUGCAGCAGCUGUAUUGACAUGCGAUGAAGAUCUUGAGCUUCUUCAAGGCUGUGCUUGUAGUCUAAGCAAGAAUGCCCGAAUCAAGUGCUCCCGCCUUGCAGCCAAAUCACAGGACAUGAAAUAGAGGGUGGAUUCAUUUCAUGCUGGGAUAAUACUGAUAGACCUCAGAGUGUAAUACUUGAAUCAUAUUUUCGAAUACAAGGUGCAGUUAGGCGGCUGCAGAAAUCGAAUUAUCAACUCACAAGAGAACAUCUCAUUGAAGCAAUAUCAUGAAUAUUGCAGUUUGUUCUACCUUUUCCUUGGUUUCUUUGGUGUUCCGAUGAGAUCUGGUUGCAGUAUCAUGGAUAGUUUCUUGAUGAAGUUGUUUUCUGGAAUCUGGAGUACCAUCAAAGAUCUCACCAAACCCCUCACGAAGAGUCUGUACGCUUUCACCUUCAAGGCCGCAAUGGAGUAAAGCCCGACUUCAGUGCAUGCAUGUGCAUGUCGACAGACUCGUACAAGCUCAUACACCACCACCAUGCUUUUCUUUGGCCACUGAGUUGGAGCAUUCAUUCGGCUAUAACUUCCUUCGCAUGUGAUCUGCUGAUUCCAUGUCAGACAUAUCUGAAUUCCCAAAUCUGCACUCGACGCAGAUUGAGGCAAAAAAGAAAAAGAAAAAGGUAAAUUGGUACAUCACUGAGGCCUCUCUCUCCGGUAUAAGUAGGUAUGGAGAGUGGAGCAAAGGUCCGUUGAACAUGGAGAAGUCGAGCAUGGUGGUGGUGCUGUUCCUUGCAUUGUUUCUGUCUUCCUUUGCCGGAGGCCUUGAAGCAAGAGAACUCAAGAACGAGCCCAUGUCGUACCAGCCUCAGAACUUCCCUGGAGCAUUUGGAGGCUUCCCGGGCUUUAGUUUCGGCCAGCCACUCCGUGGAUCCAUCCCCACCAUUCCGGGCUUCGGAAACUUGCCAGGGAUUCCCGGCGGCGGCAUUGGCGGCCAUCAGGUUGCUACGCCAUGAUCGAGUGGGCAGUGCCAUCAAGCUCGUGCUGUGAUCAUAAAUCGUAUGUGUGAAGAGCAGCUAUAUAUAUGUAGGUUGCUGCGGUUGUGGUUUCUUGCUUUGUGAUCAGGAAAGAGUUGUGAGAGAGUUCUAAGUUAGCUCUUGGUUUGCUGUGUGUUGUUUGCCUGCAUGCUAAUGUUGUGAUUGCUUUCGUCUUUC
Musa acuminata AAA Group (dessert banana) is the source of this 3149-nucleotide RNA transcript. It is a transcript of the gene named neutral/alkaline invertase 1, mitochondrial, with no coding region annotated. Lineage: Eukaryota; Viridiplantae; Streptophyta; Magnoliopsida; Zingiberales; Musaceae. The transcript has 10 exons. The record is from RefSeq and is a predicted model, not a curated record.